Molecule: unclassified non-coding RNA, 3327 nt
Filed under: Pomacea canaliculata
Lineage: Eukaryota; Metazoa; Mollusca; Gastropoda; Architaenioglossa; Ampullariidae
Description: uncharacterized LOC112574249, transcript variant X1
Source: RNAcentral
GAAGUCUGUCCAGUGUUACGAGGGUAGGCGAGGUGGGGCAGGUCUUUGUAACAUGUAACCACCAAACAGCGCGUGCAGCUCCACCAUCGGGCUCACGGUUGACGGACUGCACGUUCGGCCUGAUCGACACACACCGAGUUAAUAGAAAAUAUAGCAGGAAACAGUGUGAUUCACACAGGAACAAAACAAUUAUGGAAAGAAAAGUGACAGCCAGGCUUCCCGUCUUCUGAGAAUACUCCGAUAAAGUGGAGAACCAAUCGUGAGGCUGAGUACAAAUAUGCCAACAGAUGUGAGCAGUCAUAAUCACUCUUGUAAAACACAAGAUGCACUAACAGAUAAAUUGCUGGAGAAAGAAAGCAUUUCACAGCUCUGGUCAUUGCUGAUUGCAGUCCACUCCUUUUUUUCUUGGAAAUACACACCAAAAGAAAAUGCACGUUUUUCGUGAAAAUAGUUCCACAGAUGUUAGUGCAGACUUCUACGCAACAACAAUUUCUAAAGCGGAUUCUGCUGACCAUAUGCACCAAUGGCUGUAUUACUACAUCGACACGGCAGGCAGUGUACCCGUAUCAUUGCUGGGUAUUGUGUGUAACCUCGUGUCACUGACCGUGUGGAACACCCAGACCAAGUACAGCGCCUCCAUCUUCCUGUUCAAGUAUCUGGCCGUGUGGGACACCACCUUCCUCGUCUUGUUCAUCCCCGUGUUAUUGUUUUAUUAUAAAGACACUGACAGUUCACUGUCCAUCACAUUAAAUACUUUAUCCUGUCUUCCUCGACUAGUGUCUGUACACACGACUCUACAGAUAGCAGUGUGUCGCUGGCUGGGUGUGUACCGACCUCAACAGGUUUACAACGGACGUCUUCUACCACGACGCCAGGUCCUCGUCGGGUGUCUAGUCAUCUUUGUCUGGUGUCUGGGGAUCACGCUCUAUUUCACCUAUUUCCAGUUGUGGGUAAAAACUGCUUCAUUUGACAAAAUAUACGAUGUACAAGUCAUGGCCGUCAGCAUUGUCAUUUUGUCAGUACUCAGCCUCGUGUUCCCCAUUCUUCUACUCGUCGUCUUCAACGUUCUCCUUAUUAUGAAACUGCGCUCAACAUCAUCACCAGUUUCUUCUUCAUUUUCAAGACAUCAGCAACACCCGGGUAGGUGGGGCAGCAGCCGACGUCUGACGCUGUCCGUGGUGUUGAUGUCGCUGUGCACUGUGUUGUCGUAUCUCGUUGGAGAGAUAUUUCAUGUUAGUUACAGGUACUGGAACAUGUUUCAAAUGGACUUAAGACACGAUGAGUUGGUAAACUUUCGCAAUAUUUAUUCCGCCAUCCAGCUCCUGCAGCAGAUAAACUCUGGCAUCAACAUCGUCUUCUACUUGGCGUUUUCGUCCAAGUUCCGCACAGCUCUUUACAAGUAUGUGUCCGAGUGUCUAGCCACGCUUCAUUCGUAAUGGGAAAAAAAAUUUCCCUUAUUGAACUUUAUGCACAAUUAUUUUUAUUUCUAAAAGUUAAGAUUUGAAGAUCUAAAGAUUCACGGUUGAGUUGCUAAAGGCAAUGUUAAUGUUAAUGAUAACGAUGAGAAGAAAUUCAAUUAUUUAAGGAGAGACAUUUCUGCACACAUCUUGAGGGAGGCAGUCUGUCGUCCCCACGACUGAGAAGACUCGUCAGAGAAAACUGAUGUUGGCAAGAAGGCAAAGGAGGGAAAUGAGAAUGAAGGUGGAAUACGUGUGAGAAAAAGAAGGAUGGUGUUAUAGAUCAGUGGAUCAAGGGAGGUUUGAGUGAAUUCUUUUACUGCUGCUCCUUCCCAAGUGGACAUUUAUGACAAGAGAGGAAAGUUGAAUAGAGGUCAGUAUGACACAAGAGCGCGAGCGCACGAGCACAUUCCACGUCCGCAUUGCCAGAGAUCGCAAGGAAAUAAGACUCCCUUCCUCUCUCACUAUCUAUCUCUCACACACACACACACGCGUAGAUCAAUCGUAAAAUCAUGUUAAAAAAUCUUAUAAAAGACUAAGGCUAGGGACAAAGUUCCAGGCCUCGCUCUACUGUGAUGUGAACGUCUAACAAAAGCCAAGAAUGAGGACAAGGUCUUCAUUUGUAUCGUUCACUUCUACAAUCGGCGUGCAUGAAGAUAGUGCUUUGAAAACACUUGCUUACACCAUGUUGAUUGAAGAUGAAUUUUUGUCUGCAUCGCAUUCUUGAAGCUGAUCUCCAACUGGCUUGAUCUUCUUACUGCAUCUUUCUCUACGAGAAACUGGCCAUCGCCACAUUGUGUGCUGGUUAUGUCACAUCACCGCCCCAUCUUCGUGUUUUUUUCUUCAUUGGACUGUUAUUUGAUGUUCCUGGGCAGUGCAGUGAGCUUGUCUUGACGACAGGGAGGCACACUAUAAGUGCACUCUCAUUACUGCCAAGCACUUUUGAGUCCUACUGCUGCUGAAGAAAGGCGUAUAUAAAUGUGAUUAUUAUAUAUAUAUAUGAGUCACCAAGUCAUUUUUCGAUCACCCCGAGCAAUGCCGGAUACCCCUGUUAUUAAUAUCCAUAAUAAAUGUCCAUCUUGAUACUAUACCUAUUCAUAUACGUACAUUACGUGUUUUCGCAAAACAUUUAAAACUUUAAUAGACUUGUACUGUUAUAGUUCACACUUACUAAUACACUGUCCCCAGAAUAUUACAUGAUGAUCUCUACCCAGAAAAGUGAAUCUGUUUCUCUUUCUUACUAUCUCACAGUAUUACACUAAAACACCUUUUAUACAUACAAAAACAAAACCUCACAGUUAUGUUAAUAUUUGCAUGACAAUCCUUGCCAGUUGUACAUCCACACGUAGCCAACACGACUGCUGCUGAUAUACUUGUCAAACAUUUUACAUAUUUGUACUCUUAUAUUUGCACUCUAAAUAUCCUCCGUCUCUAGCAAACGUGUCUUCGAAAAAUAAAUUGAAAAGCACUUGCUUAAAUUGUAUUAUUUUACAGAAUAUUUAAAGAAGUGAUUCAUUCUUGUACGUAAGAAUGUACAGUAUAUUUAAAAGUUAACUUGGCAAUAAACUUUUCGUUGUUACUAAUCAUGGGGCCAGUUUCACCACACAUAAUCAACACCUUAUUUUGUUGAUUUAGUUUAGGUAAACAAUGCUUUCACACAUAUACACCAGGCUGGAAGCAAGCGAUUCUAAACACGUACAUUUUUACAUAUGAAGCAACUAGUUCUGCAAAAUCUAUCUUCGUAGUGAUAAUGUGGACAUCAACGACCUCCUGACGAUUUUAUCGACGUUCUUAACCUUUGACCGAUCUAUUCUGCUUUUGACAACUGAACCUAGGAGCUGUAUAUCAAAGCUGUGAUCCAUCAACACCA